UCGAGCAGGAUGGAGUGGCCUGGCCAAGCCGUGGCCCCGCUGGCAGGAGCUGCAGAGUGGACAGCAGAGGGAACACAGCUUGGUGGUGAAGGUGCUGUUCUCCUGAAAGAGGAUCCUGGCAAAAACAUGGCUUGGUGCAGGGGAUGGCACGCUGAAGGCAAGACAGCAGCAGACACUUGAAUGGAGACUUCUCGUGUUUGCAGCCUGGUCACACGAGUGACUGAGACACAAAAUCUCCCUGACGUCCUCUCUGGAUGCUUGGCCUUGGAACAGCCUCAUUUGUGCCAGACCUGCUCCCUUCCAUUCGUGGAGCCUUCUAUGCUGCACUGGACACUGGAAAAGCACUUGGAGAUGGCUGGAGAAGGAAGGAGACAUCCUAGAAAAUGGUCUCUAAACCAGGCCUUUCCCUGUGCCAUGGCUCAUUAAUAUCAGUGGUUCCUGCUGGAGGAACUCUGUCACCUUCCCUGAGGCAGCAGAGCUGAGGCCAGACGUGGUGUGCGCUGCUUGUGCAUCAGACAUGAGUAAUAACAAGUUCGGAGGAACUGUACCACUUAAUAAAAGCAUUUUAUUACAUUUAAAUGUAUUAAAAUGUGACCAUUAAAUUCAACAUGCUAAUUACCGCUCCCAGGCAUUGCCGCUGACAGGAAAUGGAUCCUCACAAUUGCUCUGCUGAGAUCACUCACUGCUGUUACUGCUCUUUGGUUCCUGGUGUGUUAUUAGUGCUCUGCAUUUGGGACUUGAGUCAUUAACAAAAAGGACUCAUGUUGGGCAUUAUGUAAAUUCUGUAUGUUUUCACACAGCUACCGGGGCCUGUGUUAUGUGUCUCAUUGACAAAAAGAAAAGCAAAUGGAUUUGGCUCUGCCCUGGCUUGUGGGCGAGUGAUCUCAGGGGUCACCCAGGCACAGAGAGGGAAAACCUCUUCCUAACACAUCUCUGUGUUUCUGCAAAUCCCUUUCCAGGGAAAUUUGUACCCCCCCACACCACUUGCU
Long non-coding RNA from Melozone crissalis (California towhee), 989 nucleotides. RefSeq lists it as uncharacterized. The transcript has 3 exons. Lineage: Eukaryota; Metazoa; Chordata; Aves; Passeriformes; Passerellidae. The record is from RefSeq and is a predicted model, not a curated record.